Molecule: ribosomal RNA, 198 nt
Filed under: uncultured bacterium
Lineage: Bacteria
Description: partial 16S ribosomal RNA
Rfam family: Bacterial small subunit ribosomal RNA
Source: RNAcentral
ACGCUCGACACCUACAGGAGGCAGCAGUGGGGAAUAUUGCACAAUGGGGGAAACCCUGAUGCAGCGACGCCGCGUGAAGGAAGAAGUAUUUCGGUAUGUAAACUUCUAUCAGCAGGGAAGAAGAUGACGGUACCUGACUAAGAAGCCCCGGCUAACUACGUACCAGCAGCCGCGGUAAUCUGAGCGGGCUGGCAAGGC